Molecule: non-coding RNA, 135 nt
Organism: Triticum aestivum (bread wheat)
Lineage: Eukaryota; Viridiplantae; Streptophyta; Magnoliopsida; Poales; Poaceae
Source: Rfam
AUUAUACUCCCUCCGUCCCAAAAUUCUUGUCUUAGAUUUGUCUAAAUACGGAUGUAUCAAGUCACAUUUUAGUAUUAGGUACAUCCGUAUCUAGACAAAUUUAAGACAAGAAUUUUGGGACGGAGGGAGUAUUUG